Molecule: ribosomal RNA, 549 nt
Filed under: Conus consors
Lineage: Eukaryota; Metazoa; Mollusca; Gastropoda; Neogastropoda; Conidae
Description: partial 12S ribosomal RNA
Source: RNAcentral
AACCAAGAAAUUUAGUCAUUCUUUUAUGGUAAAAAGACAGUUAGACAAAUAGUGAAAUUGUUAGAUCUUUAGUAAAGGAGUAAAAUCUAAAUACUAGAAGUUAUACCAGAUAUAAUUUAUUUAAGAUGUUGAACCUGUGACAGCUUUAAGGGAAACUGGGAUUGGAUACCCCAUUAUUUUUAGUUAUAAAUUUAGUUUAAGCUUACCAGAGUACUACGAAUAAAAAGUUUAAAACUCAAAGGGCUUGGCGGUGUUUUAGACCUCUCAGGGGAACCUGUCUCAUAAUCGACAAUCCACGUUAAACCUAACCUUUUGUAGUAAUACAGUUUGUAUACCGUCGUCGUCAGGUAACUUCUUAAAAUGUAGUAGUUAGCUUGAGAAUUUCAUUAAUUAAAACGUCAGAUCAAGGUGCAGCUAAUGAAAAGGUGAGGAUGGGUUACAAUUACAUAUUUGUAAAUACGGAAAAAUGUUUGAAACGAAGUGUUUUAAAGGAGGACUUGAAAGUAAUUUUGAUUAUAUAAGCAGAAUGAAUAAGGCUCUGAAACGUGC